Erigeron canadensis is the source of this 535-nucleotide long non-coding RNA. RefSeq lists it as uncharacterized. The record is from RefSeq and is a predicted model, not a curated record. The transcript has 2 exons. Lineage: Eukaryota; Viridiplantae; Streptophyta; Magnoliopsida; Asterales; Asteraceae.
ACCACCAACCCUUUUCAUUAUUCAUCUUUUCUUCAUUCCAUCUUUACCUUAAUUCUAAUUCUCCAAGUAAUUCAAGAAAUUCUUCAAAGCUUGAUCAUAAUAAUAAUCUUCCUUCAUCUAAGAAAUUGAAAAGUGGGGUUUAUGCCUAGUGGUGGUGGCUGAAAUUUUGAGGAAGAAGGAGGAGAAAUUAGGGCUUGAAUUCAUGAUUUUUGUUCUUGAAACAUUAAGGUUGUCCCGGAUGCGGAAGAAAGUAAGUAUUAUAAAGAUUGAAGUUAAAGAUGCUUAAUGGAUAUGGGUUGCUUUGGUUAAAUGCGGAUAAUGGUAUUGGUAAUAGGACCCAUAGUGACCCCUUUGAACUAUCGGCUCUUUGUACACUUGUUAUGUCUUUUGGAGAAUUAUUAUGAUGUCUAGUGUUGGACUCGAGUUUUUGGGUAUUUCAAAUGGGUCGUUUUGUAGUUGUAAUGUAUUGAUUUUGUUUAAACGUGUUUUGGAGAAACUCAUAAUCCGUAACAGGUUUGGAUGAUGAUUUUACGAA